Long non-coding RNA from Alosa alosa (allis shad), 178 nucleotides. RefSeq lists it as uncharacterized. The record is from RefSeq and is a predicted model, not a curated record. Lineage: Eukaryota; Metazoa; Chordata; Actinopteri; Clupeiformes; Clupeidae. The transcript has 3 exons.
GUGUGUUUACAGUGACUGUAUUUAGAGAUUCUGGAUCCAGAGACUUUGAACGAUUACCACCCAUUGGCUGCAUACCAAGUUGCUAGAACUUUGAUGGUGACCCCAAGGACUUGGCUACUGCAGUAACUUGAAAUGGCUUUGUUGCUUCUGGUCCACAUAAAUCCCAAACUCGUCCGUA